GACGAACGCUGGCGGCGUGCUUAACACAUGCAAGUCGAACGAAGUGGCGAACGGGUGAGUAAUGCGUAAUCAACCUGCCCUUCAGAGGGGGACAACAGUUGGAAACGACUGCUAAUACCGCAUACUGAAGGAGGGGAUUGCGUCUGAUUGGCUCGUUGGAGGGGUAACGGCGCACCAAGGCGAUGAUCAGGAGCCGGUCUGAGAGGAGGAACGAGCAAAUUGGGACUGAGACACGGCCCAGACGCCGACGGGGUGGAGCAGUGGGGAAUCUUCCGCAAUGGACGAAAGUCUGGCGGAGCAACGCCGCGUGAGUGAUGACGGCCUUCGGGUUGUAAAGCUCUGUUAAGCGGGACGCGGUACCGGAAUAGAAAGCCACGGCUAACUACGUGCCAGCAGCCGCGGUAAUAC
Molecule: ribosomal RNA, 408 nt
Filed under: uncultured bacterium
Lineage: Bacteria
Description: partial 16S ribosomal RNA
Rfam family: Bacterial small subunit ribosomal RNA
Source: RNAcentral